Molecule: ribosomal RNA, 624 nt
Filed under: uncultured archaeon
Lineage: Archaea
Description: bacterial SSU rRNA
Rfam family: Archaeal small subunit ribosomal RNA
Source: RNAcentral
AGAUUUUCCGGUUGAUCCUGCCGGACCUGACUGCUAUCGGAUUGGUACUAAGCCAUGCGAGUCAUUGUACAAUACAAGGCGGACGGCUCAGUAACACGUAGUCAACCUAACUCGUGGACGUGGAUAACCUCGGGAAACUGAGAAUAAAACCAACCNGAUAGAUCNNNAUAGUGCCUGNAAUGGCUUAUGGUCCAAACAGUUUACUGCCAUGGGAUGGGACUGCGGCCUAUCAGCUUGUUGGUGAGGUAAUGGCCACCAAGGCGAUUACAGGUACGGGCUCUGAGAGGAGAAGCCCGGAGAUGGGUACUGAGACACGGGACCCAGGCCCUAUGGGGCGCAGCAGGCGAGAAACCUUAGCAAUGUGCGAAAGCACGACUGGGUCAGUCCGAGUUGAUUCNCUGAUAAAGGAGUCUUUUGCUUUGGUCCUAAAAGGCCCAACAAAAGUUGAAUAAGGGGUGGNGGCAAGUCUGGUGUCAGCCGCCGCGGUAANUUACCAGCACCUCGAGUGGUCAGGACGNUUUAUUUUUGGGGCCUAAAGCAUCCGUAACCGGCUCUGCAAAAAGGUCUUCGGUUAGAUCCAGCUGGUUUCCCAACAGAUGGGGCGCUGGAGAUACUUACAGAAAA